This 257-nucleotide ribosomal RNA is filed under the name uncultured bacterium. Its description in RNAcentral is "partial 16S ribosomal RNA". It matches the Rfam family "Bacterial small subunit ribosomal RNA", at positions 523 to 776 of the family's 1533-position model. The record is from RNAcentral.
UAGCGUAGGGUGCAAGCGUUUGUCCGGAAUUAUUGGGCGUAAAGAGCUCGUAGGCGGUUUGUUGCGUCGGCUGUGAAAACCUGAGGCUCAACCUCAGGCCUGCAGUCGAUACGAGCAGACUAGAGUGUUGCAGGGGAGACUGGAAUUCCUGGUGUAGCGGUGAAAUGGCGCAGAUAUCAGGAGGAACACCGGUGGCGAAGGCGGGUCUCUGGGCAACAACUGACGCUGAGGAGCGAAAGCGUGGGGGAGCAAACAGG